UACGGGGGGGGCAAGCGUUGUUCGGAAUUACUGGGCGUAAAGGGCUCGUAGGCGGCCAACUAAGUCGGACGUGAAAUCCCUCGGCUUAACCGGGGAACUGCGUCCGAUACUGGAUGGCUUGAGGUUGGGAGAGGGAUGCGGAAUUCCAGGUGUAGCGGUGAAAUGCGUAGAUAUCUGGAGGAACACCGGUGGCGAAGGCGGCAUCCUGGACCAAAUCUGACGCUGAGGAGCGAAAGCCAGGGGAGCAAACGGG
Molecule: ribosomal RNA, 253 nt
Filed under: uncultured bacterium
Lineage: Bacteria
Description: partial 16S ribosomal RNA
Rfam family: Bacterial small subunit ribosomal RNA
Source: RNAcentral